Molecule: ribosomal RNA, 253 nt
Filed under: uncultured bacterium
Lineage: Bacteria
Description: partial 16S ribosomal RNA
Rfam family: Bacterial small subunit ribosomal RNA
Source: RNAcentral
UACGUAGGAUGCAAGCGUUGUCCGGAUUUACUGGGCGUAAAGAGCGCGCAGGCGGUCGUUCAAGUCGCGUGUGAAAGCCCCCGGCUCAACUGGGGAGGGUCACGCGAUACUGAUCGACUCGAAGGCAGGAGAGGGUAGUGGAAUUCCCGGUGUAGUGGUGAAAUGCGUAGAUAUCGGGAGGAACACCAGUGGCGAAGGCGACUACCUGGCCUGUUCUUGACGCUGAGGCGCGAAAGCUAGGGGAGCAAACGGG